Long non-coding RNA from Marmota monax (woodchuck), 7912 nucleotides. RefSeq lists it as uncharacterized. NCBI's taxonomy places the organism in Eukaryota, Metazoa, Chordata, Mammalia, Rodentia, Sciuridae. The record is from RefSeq and is a predicted model, not a curated record. The transcript is spliced from 3 exons.
CCUGGAGUUAUGCAACUUGGAGGGGCAGAGCCCAAUAUUUGUGGAAAGGAGGCUAAGGGCCAUAUUCUCUCUCUGCCUUCCUCUUGAUCUGCUGACCUCUCUAAAAUCCUUUCCAAGACUUCUAAUUCUAAACCUUCCCAUAUUUCUAAACCUUCCCUGUGUUAGAAUGGGGAAGCUGGCAUGAAGCGCUGGGCUGAUUUUGUUUGUUUGUAGUUUCUGUUCAAACUUGGACAUCUUAUUUCCAAGAGAUGUGAGAAAUGCACUGGAUAAGCUGUCCACAGCAGUUUCUCCUAAGGGUUCCUGCCAAAAACUGCAUGGGAUUUCAGGGUCUGGUUUGCUUCGCCUCCUUCAGGUCUGUUACAUUUCCCAGAAUGGUUCCCAGCGCUGGAGAUAAUUCCUUUUCGGAGAACCUACAUUUCUCACCUGCUGAUUGCAAUUAGCCACUGCCAGCUGGGGCCUGGUGCGCAGCUGAAAAGCUAACAAGAAGUGGAGACCACGCGGAACCCAGACAGGGCAUAGGAGGUGCAUGAAUAAGGAAUGGUGCCCAUGUUUAUGAGAUGCUCCUGUGAAUUUGAGGCUUCCCAACCCUUUGCAAAGCCCUCCCUCUUCCAGCCCUAUGCCACCCCCACCUCCCUAUUUUUUUUUUUUUUUUUUUGGUCUCUGGGUUUGUAGCCUACACUUAACAUCACAGUCACGAAUUUACCACUAAGUACAUUUUGUUAGGCAAUAAACAGCCUUGGAAGAAAAAUGAAAUGCAACUAGGACUUCUGUUCCAAUAAUAUUUGGGAGCUGUGGUGGAUUCAAGCAGGUCUCACAUGUGAGUCUUAGAACUAACAUUCACCAUGAGGGCUGACAGGGUUUCCAGAAGCCUUGGGAACCCUUAAUCUGACUCCCUCCUUUUGCGGAUGAAGACAAUGAAUCCUAGAAGGGGAACAUGGCUCAUCCAAAGUCUUAGAGGAAGUUGUAGGACUCGGUGAUGUCCAUGUCACCUGAUGUCCAGCUCUGGGCUCUAACUACUGAACAGGCUUGCUUUUGACCAUCCUGGCCUGUGAGGGAAGCAUCAAGAAGAUUGCCCAGAAUUAGAAGCCAGUGUCUUGGACAAUGUGGCCUCCAACCCAAGGCAACCUUGUUUCUUUCCCCAUGGGUCAAUCCUGGCCCCUGGGACCAAUGAGAAUACCCCCGGGCACUUUUGUCCAGGGUUGAUACCCAGUUUCCGUGGCUCAUAGCUGCUGACUCCAAUCCUGUGACUGCCCCCUAUGGAGGGUAUUCUCCCACUUUGGGGCUAUCUUGGAAUUGGCAACAGAGGGGACUGAUGCCCAGCCAAGGGGCAAUUAGCAGCUGUCCCUGGUCACUUUGCAAUGUAAAUGGAGGAAUAUCAACAUGGUGAGGUCUGGGCUUAGGGUGUGAACAUAUUCGUUUGGUGGGUUUGAGCUUAAACUUUCCAGCCCUUUCUACUCAGAGGGUAGGACAUUCUCUGCCCUACUCACCUUCCACUAGGAGAUCCUGAUUAUAAGAUUUCUGUUCAGGGAGUUGGAUAGGCUUCUAGGCAGUAAUGACAAAACCUGGAUUUUGAACUCCAACCUCAGCUCCAUUUUGUGGUUGGCAUAUCUCUCAGCCUGUUUUCUCAUCCAUAACACAAACACUCAUGAUACAUAUUAGUCCAUUCCCAUUACUAUAACAAAAUACCAGAGACUUGGUACUUUAUAAAGAAAAGAGCUUUAUUUAGCUCAGAGUUCUGGAGCUUCAAGAGCAUAGUGCUGGAUUCUCCUCAACUCUGGUGAAAGCCUCAUGGUGGAUGGAAUCAAAAUGGUGGGAACAUGUGUGGAAUGGGUCUCAUGGCAAGGCAAGAGCAGAGAGGGGCAAGGUUUGCUCUUUCAUAAGAACUUGCUCUUGUGGGACCAGGGUCUCUUGACAACUACAUUGAUCACUUCUGAGGGGAGUAUCCCAAUGAUCUAAUCAUCUUCCACUUGGCCCCACCUCUUCAAGGUUCCACCACUUCCACACCACUACAUUGGUGACCAAGCCCUGAGAACAUGAAAUUUUGGGGGAAAAUACACAUCUAAUCCAUAGCUUAAUGUGUGGCUUAUUGGGCUUUUUGAAAGGGUAAGGGAAAGAGACAUAGUUAAACGUGGGUUUUCUAUAAGUGUUCACUUUCCUUCCUCUAGUACUAACUUUCCAUUUUACUGAUAAAGAAAACCAAGGUCUAGAGAAAUAAAGAUACCCUCCUAAAGCUACUUACUCAUUCAUUACUUUCACUCACCUACUUUGCCUCCUAUGAGGCACUCAGGGAGGAAACCAGAAUGAACUUUACUAAUACAAAGUUCAUUCUGCAAACACAAGUUUGGUAAAUGUUUAACAAUUAGCUCAGAGGUCAGGAGAGGGAAGGUGAGGAGAAAGUUCGGAUUUGUAGUGUUGCUGGUUGUUAUUUUAAGGUAAUCUAUAUGUGUAAUCAUAAAAAAUUAUACAGGGUGAUCCCCUCUCUCCUUGAUCCAGUUUCCUCCAAUGCAAAAUUGCAGAACAAUGUCACAGCCAAUAUAUUGACAUGAUAUAAUACAUCGAUAUUUAUAUUUGCCCAGUUUUAUUUGUACUUGUGUGUGUGUGUUUGGUUCUAAGUAAUUUUAUCACAAUAUAUAGGUUCCCAUGGUCAACACCAGUCAAGGGACAGAACAGUUGAUUACCACAAGCACCACUCUUUUGCCAUCUUCACCUUCCUCCUUGUGUACCUUGCCUUUGAUCUUUAUACCUGACAACCUUUAAUCUGCCAUUUAUGUCUAAAAUUUUGUCAUUUCAAAAUCUCAUAGUAUGUAUAAUUCAUACAGUGUGUAAUCUUUGGAGAUGGGAUUUUUUUCCACUCAACAUGAUUUUAUCAAAUUUCAUCCAAGUUAUGUAUCAAUUGUUCAUUAUUUUUUUAUUGUUGAGUAAUAUUCCAUGGUGUGGCUAUACUGCAAUUUUUUCUACUAUUCACCUGUUGAAGGAAAAUGGUUUGUUUAUACAUUUAGGCUGUUAUGUAUAAUGCUCCUGUGACAAUUCAUACAUAAGAUUUUCUGGUGAAAAAGCAUCUGCUUUUGGGCUGGGGUUGUGGCUCAGUGGUUGAGUGCUUGCCUAGCAUGUGUGAGGCACUGGGUUCGACCCUCAGCACCACAUAAAAAUAAAUAAAUGCAUUGUGUUCAUAUACAACUAAAAAAAACUUUUAAAAAGUGUCUGCUCUUCCCCUAAGAUUGGGAACAAAAUUUAUUCUUACCACAAAAAUCACCAGCGUAAAUUCUAAUCAGUGCUUUAUUCAAGAAAGAGAAAUGAAAGUUUAAGUAUUAGAAAAUAAGAAAGAAAAAUUUCCCUAUUGCAGAGGAUGUGAUUGUGUAUGGAGAAAAUCUUAUUCCCAUCUCUUUGGAAAUUGUGCACUCUGCCCAAGAAGGCAAUGGCUGCAUCCUAUGGUAGACAUAGCUUAGUUUUAUAAGAAAAAAAAAUGCCAAAUUGUUUUCCAGAGUGACUGUACCAUUUGACAUUCUCAUCAUCAGUGUAUGAGACAUCUGGUUUCUCUGCAUCGUCACCAGCAUUUAGUGUUUGUCACUAUUCUUUAUUUUAGCAAUUCUGGUAGAAUCACUUCAUACGUGAUGUAUCAUUGUGGUUUUAGUUUGCAUUUUUCUAAUAGCUAAUGAAGCCAAACAUCUUUUCGUGUGCUUAUUUGUCAUAUGUAGAACCAUUUUGGUGAAGUGUCUCUUUAUGACUUUUGUCCAUUUUUUAACUGAACUCUUUGUUUUUUACUGUUCAGUUUUGAGAGUUCUUUAUAUUCUAAAUACUAGUCUUUUGUGUCAAAUACGUGGUUUGCAGAUAUUUUCUUCCAGUCCAUACAUUACUUUUCAGCCUCAUUAUAGGGUGUUUCACAAAGCAAAAGUUGUUUUGAUGAAGUCUAAUUCAUUAGUUUUUCACUUGUGUUUUGAGUGUCAAGUCGAAUUUUUUUUGCCUGUUUGUAUAUCACAAAUAUUUUCUCCUAUUUUCAAAUGUUUAUAUUAUGGUUUAAUAUUUUACAUUUAAUUAACUUUCUGAUCUUUCUUUCUUUCUUUCUUUCUUUCUUUCGUGUGUGCUGCUGGGGAUUGAACCCAGAGUCUUACUCAUGCUAGGCAAGUUAUAUACCACUGAGCUACUUGCCCAGUCCUUCAUUUUUUAUUUUGAAUUAAUUUUUCUAGAAAGUGUGACAUUUAGAUCAAGGUUCAUCCUUUCUUUCCCUACCUUUCCCAUCCCUCCCCUCCCCUUCCCUUCCCUUCCAUUAUGUCCCAUUUCCUUCCUUUUUUUCUUCUCUCUUCUCUUUGCCCUAUGGGUAUCCAAUUGUUUCAGAAUUAUUUGUGGAAAAUGCUAUUUUUUUUUCUCAUGAAAUUAUUUUUGCACCUCAGUUAAAACUUGGACAUAUCUUUCUGGGUUCUCUUUUCCAUUGAUCUGUCUCCAUUUCUCUAUCAAUCUGACGUUCUUUUCUCAUCAUAGAGCAUAUAACAAAACAAGUCUUGUAAGGGAGGCAAUUAAAGAGGAAAUAAUUAAAAACUAGGGAAAACAGAGGUAUGUCAGAAAAUUAAUUAAUAUAUAUAUAUAAAUUAUUUUAAAAAAUAUUUGUUAUGUUAAUAGUGUUUUAAGUCUCUUAAAUGUAAUAAUUCAUUGUGAUUUCUUUAACACCCUAAAUAAGUGUUAGUUUUAGUACUUAUAAUAAUAAGUCUUAAUGUUGGGUAGAUUAAUUCCUCCCAUUUUAUUCAUCUUAAGAUUGAAUUGGCUGUUCUAGGGUUUGUGUUUUUCCAUAUAAAUUUUAAAAUAAUUUUAUCUAUGUCUACCAAAAAUCUUCGUGGGAUUUUGUUUGGAAUUGUAUUAAACCUAUAUAUCAACUUGAGGAAAAUUGAGAUUCUUACUAUGUCAAGACUUCUAAUCAGCUUAUUGAAUUGCCUCUCAACUUACCAAGUCUUUUUAAAUUUCUUUUAUCAGUAUUUUGUACUUUGCAUAUAUAGCAUACCAUAAAUGUUUGACUAAGCAUAUACUUAUGUAUUUCUUACAGUACACAGAUCCUACAAAUAUCUUGUUCCCUGCAUACUUAAAAUUGUAUUUACAAUCACCUGAUGGUAAAUGGCAUUAUGUUUUUAAUUUUGGCUUCCACAUGUUCACUGUUAGUAUGUAAAAUGUGUUGACCUUAUAUCCUGAAAGACUGCCAAACUCAUUUGUUGGUUCUAGGAUUUUUGUUUUGUAGAUUCAUUGGGAUUUCUGCAAAAAAAAAAAAAUCACAUUUUUCUGCAAAUGGGAAAUAUUUCUUUCUUUUUGAUAUUGAUGUCUUUCUUUUUCUUUUCUUUUGCAUGGACUAGAACUUUCCAUACUCUGAAAUGUGCAGUGAGAAUGAACUAUGUUUCCAACCUUAGGGGGAGAGCAGACUGUCUUUCAUCAAUGCCUCUGGAAAGUAAAGAGCCUACCUGAGUGCCUUAUGCCACAGAGUGGAGAACCAGGAUCCAUAAGGAAUGGGUGACUGGCUUUAGAUCUAGAUUCUGAAAACUCAAGCCCUGUGUCAACUUCUACAUCUGGGUCAAUGGAUAACAAAUAUGGAACUUGCUAUUUCUACUGACACUUGCAUAAAGACCCACCUAUUACUGGCUGAUCUGGGGUGUGGGUGGACUAUUUAACUCAGGACCUACCUACUCUUACCUACUGCUGUUUUUGAUUGUGGGUCAAGGGAUGGAUUUCCUUCCUGAGUUCUUCUGAUACCAAGAUUGGUAGAUCGUCCUACCACUGCCACUGGGUGUUGGUGUCCCUGCUAAGUCCCUGCUGGCUUUCCUUGUUCCUGGUAAAUAAUGAAAGAUAAAAAAGAAAUCCUAUGGAAGUCACUGUUCAUCAUGGUGUUGCUCUUAAACUCUUGAGAUCUGUAGUGAGUUUUCUUCUAUCCAACAUUCAGACUUUUUACCAUUUUCUGUUGAAUUAUUUCCAAGGUAUUUCAUUAUAUUUAAAGUGAAAGAACAGGGAAAAUUGAUUCUAUUCUAUUUUGUCUCUCAAUUGGAAGCCAUUAUUUUAAAUUCAAAUUAUUGCUCAGAAUAGGAGUAUUUUCUGGGUGAUAGAUAUAUGAGUAUUCAUUUUAUGUUAUUCUCUACAGUCCUAUAGGUUCGAUACACCAAAAAUGUCUAAUGUAAGGUUAUGCCACAUAUAAGAUACUCUCCCAUUACAAGUGCAAUCUCUCCUACUUUGGUUUAUUCUAUUUUAUAUCUAUUCUAUUAUAUUUUGGUCAACAAAAUAUGUGCACGGUCAAGACUCAUUAGCCAGAAACGAUUUCAAUCAAUGAUAGUUUGGGAUGAUCAUCUGAGAGAAUGAAUUAAAAACAAGGCAAAGAAAUCUAAUGCAAAUUUAGUCAUUAUGCCUGGGGAGGUGGCCUCACAGUUGCAAGAGUUAGAUGUCCAUAUAAGCUUGUCUUUUAAAGGUCACUUUAAAAAGCAAUGCAAUAAAUGAUUCUUAUGAUAUUUUAAAAAUUGUUUUAAUAUGAGAAUGGAAACUUGAAACUUCAGAUAUUUCUACUGACAUUAUCCUACAUAGAUUAAGGUGUUCUAUAUCUCAACUUUGAGGGAAAUGAAGAUGAUGUGACUUGGAGAACUGCAGUAGAUGACUCAAGCAUGUAUCUAUGAAACAUGUCCCUAAGAAGGUCACUGAUGUCAAACAUUAAUGAUUAGUUUAAGGACAAUUGUUUCAUAAGAAAAAUAAUAAUAUUUCCAAAUCAAUAUUUUGAUUUAUGUAAAACAUGGUUUUAAGUAUAUAUAUGUAACUUUAUUAGAAAAUUAAAUAUUAUAUAGACCUUUUAGUAUUCUAUGUCUUUGAAAGCUUAUAUAUUUGAGGUGACCAAAAAAUCUUUUUAAAAGAUCUUCUAAUCUAGAAAUUUGGAGGUUAUAUUUGCUAUAUAUUUAUAUGUAAUUAUUUUGAUAUUUCAAAUACCAAAAAAUUACAGCUGUGAAUCUAUCACCUGUGUUAUAGUUUGAAUCUAAAAUGUACCCAAAAGGCUCAUGUGUUGAAGGCCUGGAUCCCAGUGCAGCAACAUUCAAAAGUGGGACUCUUGGGGAAAAAAAAGUUGGAUCAUGACGGCUCUAAUCUCAUCAAUGGGUCAAUUCACUAAUGAGUUCAUAAUUGAAUGGACUACUGGGAGAAGACAGAAACUGUAGGAGGUGCAGUCUAGAUGGAGGAAGAGGUCUCUAAGAGAAUGUCCUGAAAUGGUAUAUCUUUUUUUUUAUUUUUUUUUAUUUUUUAUUGGUUGUUCAAAACAUUACAAAGCUCAUGGCAUAUCAUCUUUCAUACAUUUGACUCAAUUGGGUUAUGAACUCCCAUUUUUACCCCAAAUACAAAUUGCAGAAUCACAUCGGUUACACAUUCACAUUUUUACAUACUGCCAUACUAGUGACUGUUGUAUUCUGCUACCUUUCCUAUCCUCUACUAUCCCCCCUCCCCUCCCCUCCCAUCUUCCCUCUCUACCUCAUCUGCUGUUGUUCAAUUCUUUCCCUUGUUCCCCCCCCUUUCCCCUCACAAAGACUUCUUUGUACACAGCUUUCAUGCUUUUCUAUCCUUCCUUCCCCUGGAUAUUCACCAUUUUCAUGUAUGUCUAAUGAGAUCAACACAUAGUUAUAUAUUUGAAAAGAAAACAUGUGUCUGUUUUGAGUUUCAAAAUAUUAUGUAAAUUUUAAUAUCCUGCAUAUAUCAUUCUGCAUUACUGAUAUGUGUUUUCUGCUUCCUGUGCUUUUGUUCUUUCCAGGCUUCUGAUGGAUUAAAAAUAUUUCCUUUCCUCUACUGCUAUUUUAAAGCUAUAUAUAAUAUUUCUACAUUGUUUUACUAGUCAUCUCUUUAUUUUCAAUAUGUAUAUUUAAUUAUAAAUGAUUUCUACCGUCUAAAGCUAUUUGAUAUACCUAUCAUCCUCCCAAUG